Molecule: ribosomal RNA, 560 nt
Filed under: Pseudomonas sp. C2-7
Lineage: Bacteria; Pseudomonadati; Pseudomonadota; Gammaproteobacteria; Pseudomonadales; Pseudomonadaceae
Also listed under: 2 other names
Description: bacterial SSU rRNA
Rfam family: Bacterial small subunit ribosomal RNA
Source: RNAcentral
UGGGGGACAACGUUUCGAAAGGAACGCUAAUACCGCAUACGUCCUACGGGAGAAAGCAGGGGACCUUCGGGCCUUGCGCUAUCAGAUGAGCCUAGGUCGGAUUAGCUAGUUGGUGAGGUAAUGGCUCACCAAGGCGACGAUCCGUAACUGGUCUGAGAGGAUGAUCAGUCACACUGGAACUGAGACACGGUCCAGACUCCUACGGGAGGCAGCAGUGGGGAAUAUUGGACAAUGGGCGAAAGCCUGAUCCAGCCAUGCCGCGUGUGUGAAGAAGGUCUUCGGAUUGUAAAGCACUUUAAGUUGGGAGGAAGGGCAUUAACCUAAUACGUUAGUGUUUUGACGUUACCGACAGAAUAAGCACCGGCUAACUCUGUGCCAGCAGCCGCGGUAAUACAGAGGGUGCAAGCGUUAAUCGGAAUUACUGGGCGUAAAGCGCGCGUAGGUGGUUCGUUAAGUUGGAUGUGAAAGCCCCGGGCUCAACCUGGGAACUGCAUUCAAAACUGACGAGCUAGAGUAUGGUAGAGGGUGGUGGAAUUUCCUGUGUAGCGGUGAAAUGCGUA